GGGCACUAGCUUUGCUACUAAACAACAGAAAUAUGCUUAAAAAAGCUCAAUGUGAGCUUGACACCCACGUGGGAAAGCACCGCGAAGUGGCCGAGACAGACAUAAAGAACCUUGUAUAUAUGCAAGCCAUUGUGAAGGAAACAUUCAGACUACACCAGCCAGCACCACUCUCAGGACCAAGGGAAGCCAUGGAGGAUUGCACUGUAGCUGGCUUCCACAUCCCAGCAGGCACGCGCCUUGUGGUUAACCUCUGGAAGUUGCAUCGUGACCCUAACAUUUGGGCUAACCCAUUGGAAUUUCAGCCUGAGAGGUUCCUGAAAGAGCAUGCCAAUUUGGAUGUAAGGGGCCAGGACUUCGAAUUCACACCAUUCGGGUCUGGAAGAAGAAUGUGCCCUGCGGUCUCAUUCGCUGUCCAGGUUGUGCACCUGACACUUGCUCGGCUUCUUCAUGGGUUUGAAUUGAGGACAGUCUCGGAUAAUCCAGUCGAUAUGACUGAAAGCCCUGGAUUGACAGUCCCCAAAGCAACACCAUUGGAGGUUGUCCUCAGGCCAAGGUUACCUUCCAUCGCUUACGAAUUCUAAGCAGCAAGCACAAGGAGAUCAUUGUGUAAUCCUUUAUAAAAAUAUAUAAAACAAAGGUAGAAUAAAGGCAGGAAGUAUUUUUUAUUGCCAAUGUAUUGCAAUAACUGUUGAACUGAUCUUAUAGUCAAGUUUUUAUUUCGUGGUUUUUAAUUUACUAUUGUCUAUUUUUAUCAACUAUAUCAUUUGGUGCGUUUUUUUUCAAACUAAAAAAUUUCAGUGGAAACAAAUUUGGACAGAAGGACUAGCAGAAAGCUGAAAUUGGCAAAAGCAGACAAGAAAAUUGUUUGCAUCUGGUCACCAUCAGUUAGACUUAGCUCCCUUGUCCCUUGUGGCCAUAAUUGAAUCAAAGGGAGUAGCAGAGCAAUAAAUGUUGACGAUAGUGAAUCUUCAUGAACAGAAAGAUAGUAAUAAUAAUAAUAUGCUCAUUAUAAAAUCUCUUUGUUAUCAUUUUAUAUAAUUAAAAAUUAACAAUGUUUUCAUAGCUUAUUAUGAUGGGAUUAUAGGCAUACCCAUCACGAACUCUAUUUUCUAGACCAUCUUAUCACCAAUCUUCAACAUCAUAAGUAACUUUGCACCUUACGAAACCUGUCUUAUGAUAACAAUGAUUUUUCUUCAAUUUGAAUGUAAGCUUUCAAUUUUGAUAACCACAUAAUAUAUCUUUUUUUUUCAAAAAACUCUCAUUAAAGAAAGGAACUUCAUCAGAAUAAGUUCGUGAGUUCUUUGUGUAUACAUCCAUGAUGGUGCUUAAUUUAUGAAUCUAUAAUGUGCAGAUCAGGAAGAAUCGGAAAUCAUCACUAGUUUUAAAAAAUCUUGCCACAUUAGCAAAGGCGUCACAAGGAACUACGAAUGCAGCGCGUAAAGCCAGCAUAGCAUGGAUGUCCAGCCCAAAAAAUCCUUCAUUCAUGACUAUCUUGCAGGAAAAUAUAUAGUAAGCAUGAUCUACUGGUGAGCCUUUACGAAAAUGUAGUAGAUAAUUUUAUUAUUUUCAAUGUGUACUUACAGCUCUUAUAAUAAGCAUGCACAGUGUUGUUUUGGCGAGCCUUUACAAAAAUGCAAUCUUGAAGGUGUUUGUUAAGUUCUAAUUAUUGCAAUUCUUGCUGAUUUAUGCAGUACAUCCGCUAACAGGUGUCCGCAAGAAGAUUCUGAAAGCUUCAGACUUCAGAUUUGUGACGGAAAAGAGUGGCUUCGUCAAACAAAAUGGAGAAAAGGCGGAGGGUAGAAUUUGAUAAAGGGACGGCGGACAACAAUAUGGUGGGAGGAAAUGUUUGCGUGUUUGAGCUGAUGAGGUUGGGGAAGAAGGCUGCACCGAGAGCUUUUAUAGAGGGUGCUUAUUGAAGUAUAUUUAGGGGCUUAUCAGGAUGCGGCAAUUGUUGAUGUUUCACCCCGAAGAAAGUCUCUUUUUUGGGAUCUUAUUUGGGCUUGGUGGGUCUCGUUUUUGGUCUACUUUCAAAUGGGCCUGGGUCUGGAUUCUUUUGAUUUAUUUAAUUGUAUUGGAGACCAUGGUGCCUGGACUGUAAAAUUAUUCAAUUUUAUUUUACUGGCUGGCAUCUAGAGGUGCUCAUUGUUUCCUUAUCCAUCCUCUCACAUUCUUUUCCAUACAGAGUUAAGUUUCCAUCUCCUUCCUUUCCAAUCAUAUUUGUAAUAUUUCUAACCCGACAAACACCACCGAAAAAAAAGGUAACUACAUGCAUAUUCCUCUGUUAGGCAUACGACACUUAUUUCAUUAAAUUAUAUAGUAAUUAGUAGUAACUUGUAAGUUCUGUUUUUGGUGUACAAGGGGUGAUUGUGUUCCUGUUUCUCAUCAUAUAUAUUGCAGGUUUUGGGUCAAUGGCAACAGCCUCAGCAACGCUUUCUCCAGCAACACUUGCUGCUGCCACAGUUAGCAGUCCUGAGAGGAAGCAAAUCAAAGUGAACUACAUAACAGGACUGGAUUCUUUUGGUGGGCUAAAAGCUCACAUCAAUGUGAGUUCAUUAGGCCUGCCAGUAUGCACUGAGCAGUCCUUUGCAAAGGUGGUCAGCUCAUUGAGAGCUCCAUCAAAGGGUAAAGGCAGAAGUGGGGGUGCACUCUCUUCAACCUGCAGUGAUGUUGGUGAGAUAUUCAGGAUAGCAGCAAUCAUGAAUGGGCUUGUUCUUGUUGGAGUUGCAGUGGGAUUUGUUCUUCUUCGAGUCGAAGCUUUUGUGGAGGGGACUGAAUGAGAAAUUUUAGCCACUAUAGCCAGUUUCUUGGUUGGUUGUUCUUUUGUUAAUCAAGGAUAUUGUUUGUACCCUAUCUUCUUUGUUAAUUAAGGAUAUUUCUUGGAUGUCUAAACAAAACCAGCAAACUGAGUUUCAACACGAAACUUUAUAAAAAAAUAUUAAUAAAAAGUUUUUUUUUUUUAACAGAAGAAUAAAAGGUGAAAAAUGUAAUUCUUGUCGUGUCACGAUAACAAGUGGUUGUGGUUUUAAAUAGGAGACAUAUACAAUGAGUCAAAGAGUAUUGUAACACUCUUCAAAUCAUGAGCAAUUGUCUAGUUUUUGAGAGAGAUGAUGAUGAUGAAGGGUUGCUUGUUGACAGUGAGAGGAGUUGUGGGGAGAUAACGAAGGCUUAUGGUGAUUGGACAUGAUAUAUUUGAUGUGGGUUUUGAGAUAAAUGAUGCUGGAGAGUUGCUUGUGGACAGCGGGAGCAUUCGUGGGUGAGAUAACGGAGGCUUGUGGUUGUUAGGCAUAAUCUGAUUCAAAUGAGGAAAAACAUUUCAAAGGAUUUAAUGAUGAUGAUGAUGGAGGUUUGCUUGCCGACAGUGGGAGGAGCUGUGGGUGAGACAACGGGGGCAUGUGGUGAUUGAGUAUGAUCUAAUUAAAGUGAAAAAACGUGGAGUUUUGAUUUUGAUUCUUGAUGAUGUUCUGUUGAAGGGACAGAGAAAGACAUGGAAAAUGCACUGUUUUUUUUCCCGUUAAAUAAUUUUUUGCCCAUUAAGAUCUUUUUUACCAUUUUAUUAAACAACUAUAUUUUGUAUCCUUUAAUUUAAUUUUUUUAUAUAAAAAAACAUUUUUCUAUGGAAAAUUUACAUUUGCAUCAAUCUCUUUCAAUUUUAUUCUCUACAAAUUCUCCUUUUUUAACCAUAUUCACUCCACUUAUCUUUCUUUUCAACCAUAAUUUAUCCAAUUUUUUUUUAAUAAAAUCCCUUUCAGACGAACAAUUUCCCCAAAACUCAUUUCAUAAACACAAAUCCCUUUCAGACGAACAAUUGAAGGGAUAUAUAGGAAAAAUGAAAAGAACGGCAAGGGAGUUAGAUUUCGUGCUUGGGAGCUGGGUGGAUGAGCAUCGAAGAAUCAGGCUCAACAGAAGCAUCAACGAGGAGGAGAAAGAUUUCAUCUAUGUAAUGCUUUCUAUCAUGGAUGAUAGUAACCUUUCUGUUGAUGAAGCUGACACAACCGUUAAGGCUACUUGCUUGGUAAGUAUCUAGUAAAUUUCUGCAAUUAAAAGUUUUAUACUUUUCUGUUGCAGCUGAAACCUACUCAAGGAACUGGGGCAAAACUUGUUUUUUUCACAUGUCUGAAAGGAGUUUGGGUAAAUGAUGAUCUGUAUUUGAUUUAAGUUUUCAGGAAAGUCUCUAACUAGAGGCCCUUGCUGUGUCUUUCAUUUUCUGCAACACUGCAUACAGCUAGGCAAAACAUCCAGAGUUUAUGUUCGAUUUUUGCAUUUUGCAUUAUAGUAUUUAUCAAAAAAAGAAAUUGCACUAUAGCAGACAUAGUAAUUUCUAAUGGUCAUAUAAAUCCUAAUAAAUUAAAGGAAUAAAUUUCGUAUGUGUAUAUAAAUCAGAUUUUUACUCCAUCAUCUCACAGUAUCAAGUAAUCUCUAUGGCAGAGCCUUCUAUCGGGAGGCAGUGACACAACAACGAUAGCUGUUACAUGGGCACUAGCUUUGCUACUAAACAACAGAAAUAUGCUUAAAAAAGCUCAAUGUGAGCUUGACACCCACGUGGGAAAGCACCGCCAAGUGGCCGAGACAGACAUAAAGAACCUUGUAUAUUUGCAAGCCAUUGUCAAGGAAACAUUCAGACUACACCCACCAGGACCACUCUCAGCACCAAGGGAAGCCAUGGCGGAUUGCACUGUAGCUGGCUUCCACAUCCCAGCAGGCACGCGCCUUGUGGUUAACCUCUGGAAGUUGCAUCGUGACCCUAACAUUUGGGCUAACCCAUUGGAAUUUCAGCCUGAGAGGUUCCUGAAAGAGCAUGCCAAUUUGGAUGUAAGGGGCCAGGACUUCGAAUUCAC
Molecule: long non-coding RNA, 4835 nt
Filed under: Populus trichocarpa (black cottonwood)
Lineage: Eukaryota; Viridiplantae; Streptophyta; Magnoliopsida; Malpighiales; Salicaceae
Description: long non-coding RNA (PTRI_LNC002347)
Source: RNAcentral